Molecule: ribosomal RNA, 333 nt
Filed under: uncultured Omnitrophica bacterium
Lineage: Bacteria; Pseudomonadati; Candidatus Omnitrophota
Description: bacterial SSU rRNA
Rfam family: Bacterial small subunit ribosomal RNA
Source: RNAcentral
AGUGAACGCUGGCGGCGUGGAUUAGGCAUGCAAGUCGAGCGAUCCCGACGCAAGUCGGGAUAGCGGCAAACGGGUGAGGAACACGUGAGCAACUUUCCCUUAAGUUAGGAAUAGCUCUGUGAAAACGGAGGUAAUGCCCAAUAAUAUCAGAGGAACGCAUGUUUCACUGAUUAAAGGUAGGGACCGUAAGGCCUACCGCUUAUGGAUGGGCUCGCGUCCUAUCAGCUUGUUGGUGAGGUAACGGCCCACCAAGGCUUAUGACGGGUAGCUGGUCUGAGAGGAUGGUCAGCCACACUGGGACUGAGACACUGCCCAGACUCCUACGGGUGGCUG